GAUGAACGCUGGCGGCGUGCCUAAUACAUGCAAGUCGAGCGAACAGAUGAGGAGCUUGCUCCUCUGACGUUAGCGGCGGACGGGUGAGUAACACGUGGAUAACCUACCUAUAAGACUGGGAUAACUUCGGGAAACCGGAGCUAAUACCGGAUAAUAUAUUGAACCGCAUGGUUCAAUAGUGAAAGACGGUUUUGCUGUCCCUUAUAGGUGGAUCCGCGCCGCAUUAGCUAGUUGGUAAGGUAACGGCUUACCAAGGCAACGAUGCGUAGCCGACCUGAGAGGGUGAUCGGCCACACUGGAACUGAGACACGGUCCAGACUCCUACGGGAGGCAGCAGUAGGGAAUCUUCCGCAAUGGGCGAAAGCCUGACGGAGCAAUGCCGCGUGAGUGAUGAAGGUCUUCGGAUCGUAAAACUCUGUUAUUAGGGAAGAACAAAUGUGUAAGUAACUAUGCACGUCUUGACGGUACCUAAUCAGAAAGCCACGGCUAACUACGUG
This 497-nucleotide ribosomal RNA is filed under the name uncultured bacterium. Its description in RNAcentral is "partial 16S ribosomal RNA". It matches the Rfam family "Bacterial small subunit ribosomal RNA", at positions 28 to 507 of the family's 1533-position model. The record is from RNAcentral.